GACAAGGUUCCAGGCCCUACGGGGUGCAGCAGGCGCGAAACCUCCGCAAUGUGAGAAAUCGCGACGGGGGGAUCCCAAGUGCCAUUCCUAACGGGAUGGCUUUUCAUUAGUGUAAAGAGCUUUUGGAAUAAGGGCUGGGCAAGACCGGUGCCAGCCGCCGCGGUAACACCGGCAGCUCUAGUGGUAGCAGUUUUUAUUGGGCCUAAAGCGUCCGUAGCCGGUUUAAUAAGUCUCUGGUGAAAUCCUGUAGCUUAACUGUGGGAAUUGCUGGAGAUACUAUUAGACUUGAGACCGGGAGAGGUUAGAGGUACUCCCAGGGUAGAGGUGAAAUUCUGUAAUCCUGGGAGGACCGCCUGUUGCGAAGGCGUCUAACUGGAACGGUUCUGACGGUGAGGGACGAAAGUUAGGGGCGCGAACCGGAUUAGAUACCCGGGUAGUCCUAACUGUAAACGAUGCGGACUUGGUGUUGGGGUGGCUUUGAGCUGCUCCAGUGCCGAAGGGAAGCUGUUAAGUCCGCCGCCUGGGAAGUACGGUCGCAAGACUGAAACUUAA
RNAcentral lists this ribosomal RNA (552 nucleotides) under uncultured archaeon. Its description in RNAcentral is "bacterial SSU rRNA". It matches the Rfam family "Archaeal small subunit ribosomal RNA", at positions 307 to 859 of the family's 1478-position model. The record is from RNAcentral.